Long non-coding RNA from Arabidopsis thaliana (thale cress), 296 nucleotides. RefSeq annotates it as other RNA. The transcript has a single exon. The record is from RefSeq. NCBI's taxonomy places the organism in Eukaryota, Viridiplantae, Streptophyta, Magnoliopsida, Brassicales, Brassicaceae.
UCUCCUCUUUUCAUCUUCAAUUCGUGUGUGUAACUCCACAGGACUACCACGAGCUAAAUAGGAUCUGAAACGCCCAUCUCUCGUUACACUUGUAGGCUUGUAGCGAUCGUAUACGCUUUUGUAAAUGAAAUAGGGAAAGUCAUUUGACCAAACCUCCGAAGUAAUCGAUGAAUCUUGUCUACUAAACUAGAUUAAUAUAAAUAGUUUUUUUUACAUAAUCAGAUAUAUUUGAUAUAAUCAUGUUACAAAUGAAAUCUAAUUAGACAAUAACUAUGUCCUCCGUAACCCUUGUAUCG